UACGGAGGGGGCUAGCGUUGUUCGGAAUUACUGGGCGUAAAGCGCACGUAGGCGGCUUUGCAAGUUAGAGGUGAAAGCCCGGGGCUCAACUCCGGAAUUGCCUUUAAAACUGCAUCGCUAGAAUUGUGGAGAGGUAAGUGGAAUUCCCAGUGUAGAGGUGAAAUUCGUAGAUAUUGGGAAGAACACCGGUGGCGAAGGCGGCUCACUGGCUCGUAUCUGACGCUCAGGCGCGAUAGCGUGGGGAUCAAACAGG
RNAcentral lists this ribosomal RNA (253 nucleotides) under uncultured bacterium. RNAcentral describes it as "partial 16S ribosomal RNA". It matches the Rfam family "Bacterial small subunit ribosomal RNA", at positions 524 to 776 of the family's 1533-position model. The record is from RNAcentral.